Molecule: transfer RNA, 64 nt
Filed under: Cryptocephalus octoguttatus
Lineage: Eukaryota; Metazoa; Arthropoda; Insecta; Coleoptera; Chrysomelidae
Description: tRNA-Pro
Source: RNAcentral
CAGGGGAUAGUUUAAUUAAAAUAUUAAUUUUGGAGAUUAAUGAAAAGAGUAAUCUUUUCCCUGA